GUGGGGAAUUUUGGACAAUGGGCGCAAGCCUGAUCCAGCCAUUCCGCGUGCAGGAUGAAGGCCUUCGGGUUGUAAACUGCUUUUGUACGGAACGAAAAGCCUCUGGUUAAUACCCGGGGGUCAUGACGGUACCGUAAGAAUAAGCACCGGCUAACUACGUGCCAGCAGCCGCGGUAAUACGUAGGGUGCGAGCGUUAAUCGGAAUUACUGGGCGUAAAGCGUGCGCAGGCGGUGAUGUAAGACAGUUGUGAAAUCCCCGGGCUCAACCUGGGAACGGCAUCUGGGACUGCAUUGCUGGAGUGCGGCAGAGGGGGAUGGAAUUCCGCGUGUAGCAGUGAAAUGCGUAGAUAUGCGGAGGAACACCGAUGGCGAAGGCAAUCCCCUGGGCCUGCACUGACGCUCAUGCACGAAAGCGUGGGGAGCAAACAGGAUUAGAUACCCUGGUAGUCC
Molecule: ribosomal RNA, 450 nt
Filed under: uncultured bacterium
Lineage: Bacteria
Description: partial 16S ribosomal RNA
Rfam family: Bacterial small subunit ribosomal RNA
Source: RNAcentral